AUGGAUCACGGCCUUAAGAUUGCUGUAUGGAAUGUGCGCGGCCUGAAUUCGCGGAGCCGGCGCACCGCCAUUCGCUCGCUGUUGGAUACCACCGCUGCCUCCAUUGUGUGCUUGCAGGAAACUAAGAUGGAGUUGCUUUGUUCGUCUGUUGUUCUUGACACCCUUGGUUCAGAGUUUGAUGACUACACAUACCUCCCGGCUCUUGGCACGCGGGGCGGCAUCUUACUGGCUUGGAAGAGCAGGGUCGUGACUAUCACGGACCCGUUGUUCACCACGAAUGCCCUCUCGGCCAAAGUGGCCACGGCCUCGGGCAUCCCUUGGUGGCUCUCUGUAGUGUAUGGACCCUAG
This 348-nucleotide ribosomal RNA is filed under the name Triticum aestivum (bread wheat). RNAcentral describes it as "partial small subunit ribosomal RNA". Lineage: Eukaryota; Viridiplantae; Streptophyta; Magnoliopsida; Poales; Poaceae. The record is from RNAcentral.